GGAGGGAGCUGCUGGGGAGCCAGAGCUCAGGCACAGGGAGAUGAUGGGGUCUCAGGCUCAGCUGUUCUGCCUCCUACUUCUCUGGGUCCCAGGUUCCAGAGGGGACAUUGAGGUGACCCAGUCUCCAUCCUCCCUGGCUGUGUCUCUGGGAGAGACGGUCACCCUGUCCUGCAGGGCCAGUCAGAGUGUUAGUAAUCACAUAAACUGGUACCAACAGCACCCAGACGAGGCUCCCAGGACCCUCAUUUACCAGGCGACCAAGCUACCCUCCGGAGUCACUGCCAGGUUCAGUGGCAGUGGCUCUGGGACAGAUUUCUUUCUUACCAUCAGUCCUGUGGAACCAGAAGACAUCGCAGUCUAUUACUGCCUACAAGACACUAGUUAUCCUCUCACAGUGCUCCAGCUCUGAACAAAAACCUGCCCAGGCAGCUGCUGAGGGAGCCCCCAUUUCCCAGAGGCUCCUCCUUUCCCCACAGCUACGACAUGGGCAACUUGUCUGGGCUGCCUCUGAGGGAGGUUUCUACAUCUCCCAGGAGGCUGCUGGGCCUGGUGUGGGUGCUGAGCCUGGUCUCUUCCCCAUCAACAGUCAUGGAGUGGCACCUCCUUACUCAUUGGAUCUCACCCCUAAGGUGAAUUUUUCUCACUCACAGCUGACCAUGAUUCCCCUUUCCAAAUGCUCAUCAAGUGUUCUUACAUGCUUUGUAGUGCAGGGGGCAGAGCUUCCCAGGCACUUAGGUUGUGUAGUGGUUAUAGCCAGGCAUGGAGGCAAGUAGACAUGAGUUCUAAUCCAGCUUCAGACA
Molecule: non-coding RNA, 800 nt
Organism: Monodelphis domestica (gray short-tailed opossum)
Lineage: Eukaryota; Metazoa; Chordata; Mammalia; Didelphimorphia; Didelphidae
Source: the annotation of a RefSeq genome assembly